This is a long non-coding RNA of Erinaceus europaeus (western European hedgehog), 1177 nucleotides long. RefSeq lists it as uncharacterized. NCBI's taxonomy places the organism in Eukaryota, Metazoa, Chordata, Mammalia, Eulipotyphla, Erinaceidae. The transcript is spliced from 3 exons. The record is from RefSeq and is a predicted model, not a curated record.
CAUAACUUCCUGACUAAGAACUUGAGCCAUUUGCUUUGAUUUCCCAUGAUGCUCUCUUUCUUUGAUGACACAGUGGUUUAUCAGCUCCAAGGGCCAGGCAGUGAAGUGGCUGCCUUUUUUGCUCUCAGCAGAACACUUUCUGGGACAUUUAUCUGGAGCUAAGGAGCAACAUCUGUGGAGAUGGAAUGAAAAAAAAAAAAAAGAAGAAUCUUUGGAUGGUUGGAUCAUGAUCACGCCACUACUAAGCAGACUUUUACUUUCUAUUCUGGUUCUACUGGUAAAGGAAUGUCAGAGAUUCUCUGCCUCUGGGGAAGAACAAAGUGAUUAUGCAAAAGAUUUUCCUGCCUGGGGCUCCUGGGUCCCAGGUUCAAUCCUCAGCACCAACCAUAAGCCUGAGCUGAACAGUGCUCUGAAACCAUCUCAUUAGAGUCUGACGACAUUCCUGAAAGAUAUCUGAACUCUACUUAACAAAGAGACCAAGGCUCAGAAAAGUUAAAUAACUUCUCCAAGAUGAACAAGCUAAUAAAAGGUAGAGAGUGAUGAAACUCCAGAAGAUGAUGGUGACAACAACAACAACAACAACAAAGAAUUGGCAGAGCAAUGUCCAUGUCUAGCAGAGAAGCCAGAACUCCCACAUUCUGAAUCCCAAAAGAAUAUGGUCCAUACUCCCAGAGGGGGAGAAAUGUGAGGGGAAGAUGAACAGAGGGCUCUGAAUUACAAUUCCAUCAUGACCCAGAGAAGAAGAGGAAAAAAGGAAAUACCAGCAAUACUACUCUUGCACAUUUGUCCAAAGGACACUCAAACACUAAGUCAAAGCUGCUUCAUUCAUAGCUGCUUCAUUUAAGAAAGUCAGAGAGUGGAAGCAGCCUAAAUGCCUAUCAACAGAUGACUAAAGAAGUUGUGAACUCUUUACUCUGCAAUAAAAGAAGACUAUAUUGUGUCCUUUGAGACAAAAUGGAUGGAACUGGAGGUGAUUAUGCUUGGUGAAAUAAGUAAAGAGAUGAAAGACAACUACCAGAUGGUUUCACUCAUAUGUGAAAUCUAAAGAACUGAUACACAUGAACUUGAAAAACAAAAUCCAGAAGCAAGCAAACUGUUUAUUUGGUUAUCUUUGGAAGGUGAGAGGAUGGGGAUACAGAACUCUGGUGGUAGAUGUGGUGUGGAACUAUAUACUGUA